UCAGGUAGGACUACCCGCUGAACUUAAGCAUAUCAAUAAGCGGAGGAAAAGAAACCAACAGGGAUUGCCUCAGUAACGGCGAGUGAAGCGGCAACAGCUCAAAUUUGAAAUCUGGCCUUCGGGUCCGAGUUGUAAUUUGGAGAGGAUGCUUUUGGCGCGGUGCCUUCCGAGUUCCUUGGAACAGGACGCCAUAGAGGGUGAGAGCCCCGUACGGUUGGACACCAAGCCUUUGUAAAGCUCCUUCGACGAGUCGAGUAGUUUGGGAAUGCUGCUCAAAAUGGGAGGUAAAUUUCUUCUAAAGCUAAAUACCGGCCAGAGACCGAUAGCGCACAAGUAGAGUGAUCGAAAGAUGAAAAGCACUUUGAAAAGAGGGUUAAACAGUACGUGAAAUUGUUGAAAGGGAAGCGCCUGUGACCAGACUUGCGCCCCGUGGACCAUCCGGCGUUCUCGCCGGUGCACUCUGCGGGGCGCAGGCCAGCAUCGGUUUUCUCAGGGGGAUAAAGGCCGCGGGAAGCGUAGCUCCUCCGGGAGUGUUAUAGCCCGUGGUGUC
RNAcentral lists this ribosomal RNA (550 nucleotides) under Ophiostoma sp. RJ-0704. RNAcentral describes it as "eukaryotic LSU rRNA". It matches the Rfam family "Eukaryotic large subunit ribosomal RNA", at positions 11 to 571 of the family's 3401-position model. The record is from RNAcentral. Lineage: Eukaryota; Fungi; Ascomycota; Sordariomycetes; Ophiostomatales; Ophiostomataceae.